Molecule: ribosomal RNA, 692 nt
Filed under: Circinella lacrymispora
Lineage: Eukaryota; Fungi; Mucoromycota; Mucoromycetes; Mucorales; Lichtheimiaceae
Description: eukaryotic LSU rRNA
Rfam family: Eukaryotic large subunit ribosomal RNA
Source: RNAcentral
GCGGAGGAAAAGAAAAUAACAAUGAUUCCCCUAGUAACGGCGAGUGAAGAGGGAAAAGCUCAAGUUUGGAAGCUUCGUGGCAUAGCUACGACGCGUUGUAAACUGAAGUUUUUUGGGUGAUUGGGCGACCGAAUAAAUAAGUCCUUUGGAAAGGGGCAACAUAGAGGGUGACAUUCCCGUCUUUGGUUCGAGUCAGUUCAAUCGCUACCCAGGAAACGACGAGUCAGGUUGUUUGGGAAUGCAGCCUAAAAUGGGAGGUAAAUCUCUCCUAAAGCUAAAUACUGGCGUAAGACCGAUAGCGAACAAGUACCGUGAGGGAAAGAUGAAAAGGACUUUGAAAAGAGGGUCAAAUAGUACGUGAAAUUGUUGAAAGGGAACCGUAUGAAAGUAGACUGGCUUGGUGAUGAUCAAUGUGUGUUUCGACACGCAUGCACUCAUUGCCAAUUGCCAGCCAGCGGCAGUUUUUGUUGAAGGAAGAAAAUCUUGGGAAUGUGGCUUUGACCUUGGUUGAAGUGUUAUAGCCCUUGAUAAAAUACUUUGGCAGAGACUGAGGCUAGCAGUGGGUCUUUUUGGGAAGUUUGCUCGCUUGUCGCUUGAUGGUCAAGUUUUCUUCGGAUGCUUGAUGAUUGAGAGGCAACUCGUGUGAUGCUUCACCCUCCCACUUAGGUCGCUGGCGUAAUGCUUUGUAUGAC